Molecule: transfer RNA, 142 nt
Filed under: Loxodonta africana (African savanna elephant)
Lineage: Eukaryota; Metazoa; Chordata; Mammalia; Proboscidea; Elephantidae
Rfam family: tRNA
About the family: Transfer RNA (tRNA) molecules are approximately 80 nucleotides in length. Their secondary structure includes four short double-helical elements and three loops (D, anti-codon, and T loops).
Source: Rfam by way of RNAcentral
GCAGUAGUGGUUCAGUGGUAGAAUUCUUGUCUGCUAUUGCUUUUUCUGUUUUUAGUUGCUAUGAGUUGGAAUUGACUCAAUGGUAUUUUUUUUUUUUUUUUUUUUAAUGCAGGGGACCCAGGUUCAAUUCCUGGCCAAUGCA